ACACACACACACAGAGUCAUCAUACUGUCACUGAACCUCUCCGGUCACUCCUGCUCUAAACCUCAUGAAGAGUAACGUUCCUGUCCUUCGUGAGAGCUGUAUCUGCGGUGUAUGUGGCUGAACUGUGUCCCAGUCUGUUGCUCACCACGCAGGUGAAGUGUCCGCAGAAGCUGACGCCGGAGACGUACAGAGACCCAUCUGCCGAAACGUGACCCACCUUCUCUGUUACUAGCACUUUCUCAUGCAGCCAAGUGAAGGUGGGCUCAGUUCCCCAGGCCUCCAUACAGUGAAGAACCCAGUGAGACACAUUCACCAUCACCGACACGUGAUGCACCGCCACUGACCACACACACACACACACACAGAGAGAGCUCAAUUACUGGAGAAGUGCACAAGGACACGAUAAAGACAGAAAUGGGUCACUACUAUCAUGGAGUGCAUUUUUCUCACCAUACUGAAUGUUACUGUAAUAAUCUCUCAUUUUAUCAUUUUACUAUCUCUCUCUCUCUCUAUAUAUAUAUGUAGUAAAAUCAUAGAUUAUUAUACUUAGUUUUUAUAUAGAAUAUUAAACAUUCUAAAUAUAAAAAUGUCUUAACCUACAAUGAUUGUGGAUGAGUGACUUAUAUAGUUAUGUUUUUAUUUUGUUUUACCAGGAGGUUGUGUUUCAUCAUGACAAUCUUGUAUUAGAUUUUUUUGAAAGUAAUUUAUAUUAAAAUAGACUUAAUAAAAAGUGCAUUUUAUGUUUAAAAAUAUAAAGUGUAUAAAAACUAAAAUAAGCAGUCUGUAUAACAUUGUAAGUGAAUUUAAAAUAAUUUCAGUACUUCGGUACACUUAAAGUAAUUGUUUCACUAAUGUUUCAUGUUUCAAAAUAUGACAUCAUCUUCCAGGAAGUGACAUCAUUUUGGAGGGAAAUCAGCAACAUAAAUAUCAAGUAAGCAACAGUAUUACAUAUUAUGAAUGAUAUCAGUUAUCCAAAUAAUUCUGGAAAUACGUUUUGGAUGAUUUUAAAACUUUAAUCUUAUUUUUUUUUUAACCCUAUAAUGCAUAUGUGUGACAAAUUUGUUCUUUUUUUGUAUGUCUUGCAUGAAAUGUUCCAGGAAAUGUCUUUCAUAAUGAUAACUAGUUUUGUUUGCGAUGCACUCCAGUCCAUCAAUUAACAUCUUGUGAAGCCAAGAGCUGCAUGUUUGUAAGAAACAUUGGUGAGCAAAUGAUGGAAUGCCACAUUUCUCCAGAUCUGUUCUGAUGAAGAAACAAACUUGUGUACAUCUGGCCUGAGGGUGAGGACAUUUUCAGCAGUUUUCACAUUUUCAGCAAACUGGCUGAACUGUUUCUUUAAGUGCACACAUUUUUGGAGAAGAAUAUAGCAGCACAUGUGAAAUGAAUUGAAGGCUUUAGUGGAUCUUACGAUACUCUUGAACGGUUCGCUGUGCAGAUCGUCUCUGUCCUGACUGCUCUGUAACUGUGUCACUCUCUCAUCUGGACUUUAAGAGGAAACUCAGCCAGCGCUGAACUCUUUCCAGAAUCUUUGUAACAUGGUCCCAUGUCACUUUAGCAACAUGUUCACCAUCCAGUAGCUGGAUUUGUGCCUGUAGGAUCAGAUUCUGGCCUUUGAUUACAUACUGCUGGUUUGUGAAGCAGACGGACAAACACUGGCUGCUCCAGAGCCCUGCCACGUGCAGAAGCAGGACAGUCCUAACGAAUGGCUGUAGUUGUGCUUCCAUGUCUCCUACAGCUGUAAGACU
Long non-coding RNA from Cyprinus carpio carpio, 1742 nucleotides. The record is from Ensembl. NCBI's taxonomy places the organism in Eukaryota, Metazoa, Chordata, Actinopteri, Cypriniformes, Cyprinidae.